GAUGAAGAACGCAGCGAAAUGCGAUAAGUAAUGUGAAUUGCAGAAUUCAGUGAAUCAUCGAAUCUUUGAACGCACAUUGCGCCCCUUGGUAUUCCGAGGGGCAUGCCUGUUCGAGCGUCAUUAUAACCCCUCAAGCUCAGCUUGGUGUUGGGGCCUGCUGCACUGGCAGCCCUUAAAAUCAGUGGCGGCGCCGUCUGGCUCUAAGCGUAGUAAUUCUUCUCGCUAUGGAGUCCUGGUGGAUGCUUGCCAUCAACCCCCAAUUUUUCUAUGGUUGACCUCGGAUCAGGUAGGGAUACCCGCUGAACUUAAGCAUAUCAAAAGCGGAGGA
RNAcentral lists this unclassified non-coding RNA (328 nucleotides) under soil metagenome. Its description in RNAcentral is "partial contains 5.8S ribosomal RNA, internal transcribed spacer 2, and large subunit ribosomal RNA". The stretch from base 1 to 120 matches the Rfam family "5.8S ribosomal RNA", at positions 35 to 154 of the family's 154-position model. The record is from RNAcentral.